GGCUGGCCCACAGAUCUCAGUUUAGAGAAGCACCACGCGCACACUGAGAACAUCGACCUUCCACGAGGGAGCUGGCUGGGGAGGGUGAAGCGCUGAACUCAGGAAUCCCUCCUCCAGGAGACGCCCGGGAAAGCAGUGCAGAUAUACCUAUUGAGAAGAUGGAAGACUUACUUUCAUCAUCUGAAUCAAAUCCAAAGAGUGCCUGACAUUUCUUUUGUGCAAGGCCAAGGUCUUUCAUGGGGCUACCUGAGGAUCUGCUUAAAGACCCAACUUUCCUCUUAAGUUGGUCCAAAGAAGCAAAGGAAUGACCCAGGACAACACAAAGGAAAUGGAAAUUAAAAGCUUUUAAUAUGAAAGAAAUCUAAAGGAAGAGACAUCAAGUACAACCUGGCACCUGGGGCUGCCAUCCAUGGAAAUCUGUAAACAUUACAAGGCAGAAAUUCAAAUACAAUUUUCAACAAAGUAGAAUGUUCAGUUUGCCACCAGCUCCACUAUGGCUCUAACCAGAUGAUGCUGAUGGGGUCUCAUACCAGAGAACAUAUCCAUACUGAAUGGAGGAUACUGCUGAAAUGAUGAGCUGACCUGUCAGAGAAAUAGAAAAUAAGCAAUCUGAGGUAAAGAGAGAAAAAAAUAAAAGAUGGGGAUAGCUAACAAGAUGAAAGUGGAAGUUAUCGAGUAGGAUUUAGGACAAGAUGUUUUUGGCAUACCCCAGAGAUACCCUGUUCCUGCUACUUGGAACUCAGAUGUGGCUGGAACUCCACCAACCAUCUUGGACCAUGAGGCAACAUUGAGAUAAGACAGGGAUGACUGAUAAGAAUGAGUAGGCAAUGAUGGUACAAUUAUGAUAAAGCCAUAAUAUCAUCCCUACACUAUCCAUUCAAGACUUUUCACAUAAGAAAUAAAUGAGUACUACUGUUUAAGCUAUUUAAGUCAGGUCUCUAUUUAGCAGCAAAAUGCAAUUACUGAUAUUUUAAGUCUUAUAAGACUUUUUUUAGUUUCACUUUAUUUAUUUAUUUUUAAGGCAUUAUUGAUAUAUAUACUCUUAUGAAGGUUUCACAUGAAAAACAAUGUGGUUACUACAUUCACCCAUAUUAUCAAGUCCCCUCCCAUACAACAUUGCAGUCACUGUCCAUCAGUGUAAGACUUUUUAAACUUAAGUGCAUGUAAAAAUUUAUAAAAAUUUAAGUAAAUUAAAAAAUAAUUCCAAUUAAUAGGAGGAAUUGUUAGAAAUGUAUUCUUAUACCAUAAUGAACUACUCAAAGCACCAUAAAUACUAUGUAAAUUCUAUACCAAGACUAAGUGACAAGGAUUAUAUUUUCCUAAAACAAAUUUUUAUCUCUCAAAGUAAGAGAUAUUAAAGCAAACUUGUUUUUCUGUUAGAUUGUCUCUUCAGUGCCUAUUAAAAUGCCUAGUACACAGUAGUUGUUUAAGUAUAUUUGAGGACCAACAAAUACUUUUUUGCCAUUUGCAUGAGCAUUACAAGGUAUCCACUACAAGUUCCAAAGUGACAGUAUAGUGGAGUGUCUCAAGUUCUGCACUACUAAUAUUUUGGUCCAGAUAAUUCUUUGUUGUUGGGGCUGCCCUCUGUACUGUAGGAUGUUCAACAGUAUCCCUAGCCUCUUUUCACUAGAUGCCAGUAGCAGCAUCGCCCCCUCCUCCAUUAAAAUAAUCAAAAACAACUCUAGAUAUCACCAAAUGUCCCCUACAGGAAACUAAAUCUCUGAGAAAAUGUAUUUUGGUACAUCAUUUAGUAAUUAAUCAAGAGCAUUAGACUUCCCUAGUAAAAUGACAGAGUUUUAGAACUGUAACAUUUCUAAGUUUUCUCUAAAGUUUACUGUGGGAUACAAACUGUAAGUGACCUACAGAUUAGAUUAUCUCUAAUAUCCCCCUUAAACCUACAGAGAUUUCACAUGAGAGACAUAUUAAUAGCUUCCAUUUAAGCCUACCUAUAUACUAGGUAUAGUACUGAGCACUUCAUGCUCAUUUCCUCAUUUUAUACUCAUGACAUCCUCAUGGGAUGGCUAUAAAACCCACUGCAGGGAGAAACCGUUUUAUAUUUUAAUCAACAUAUCAAAGUGUUUCCAGAUAUACUUAUUUAUCUAUAGUACUAUAUUCAUUCUGGCACUGAACUAAGAAGAAAAUACCUUAACUUGCUUAAUUUAAUCAAUUUAUUAUCACAACAUUUCAAUUUAUCUAAGAACAAAAUAAGUUGAAUUAUUACAACGUUCAAGAUUUGGGGAAUGUUUGUAGCAACUAGAAAGUGUAAAAAAUAAUAAUUAUCUGCUUCUUCUAAUACUUUUUACACUGUGGCAUAAUGAAAGAGGACUUUUAAAAUUUUUCAUCCAUGAUUCCGAGUACUUCCAGUAACUUUGUUUUUCCCUUUCCACAAUUUGCCAAAAAACAAAAACCUCACUUUAUAAUUAUUUGAGGAUUAUUUGUAAUUUCAAUCUGUCUUUCAGUAGAAAUUAGUAGAAAAGGCUGGGUUCAAAUCCUAGCUUGUCCACCACCAAAACUGAAGACAAUUUAACUUGUUCAGACAUCUAUUUCAAUAAUGUAACUUACAUAAGACUUAUCUGAAGGCCUUAAGAGUUAGUAGACUCUCAAUAAAAAUUACUUUCCCUUCCUUUUAUCCUUAAAGCAAAUUAAAUAUAAUUUAAGAGCCAAUUCUACUUAAGCAUUUGCUGAGUCUACCAAUAAGAGCCAAUGGAGAUGUGAAGGGGCAGUAGACCAAUGUUACACCAUACAACUGUUUGUAAAUCAGCACUUCCAAUCUCCCAAAUCGAUCAACUCAAAAAUCAACUGAAGCUUAAGAAACUAUUCUCUUAGUUUAAGAUUCUAUAAUUACAGGUAUCAUUUCUCAAACAGAAAAGUUUGUCAUCAAAUGUAUUGAGUGUAUGCAUAAUUUAUCACAUUAUCUAUUAUCUUCUGCUUUACUUUUCCUUAUGGUUAAAGGACCUCUCUUAAAAAGAAGUAUUUCUUCCUCUCCCCCUUCACCCACACAACUAACUGCCAAGAAAUUUUGAUCAUAUUUCUCUCUACAAGGAGGAAGAUAAAUUGGAGUCUUUCUUCUUAAUGCCACAAGCCUCUACAUAUAAUUCGUAUUAUUUAGUUAACUGCCACCCACCCAAGUGCAUAUUACCCAUUUCAUGGAUUACUCAUGAUUAAAAAGAAAAAAUCUUUGAGAAUUAGAUUAUAUAAUCCACUGCUUCCCUUGCUGAUAUAUAAAAUUGAACUACUAUACAGAAUUUUAUUAGUCAAUGAAUAAAAUUCCACUUAAUACAAUCUUUUAUUCCAUCUUAAAAGUUUUAACACAAAAAAAAAGACUUUCAAAGCUCACCUGCAAGGUGGAACCAGGACAGGAACCCUAAGAACAGAUCUAUUAUUCAUCUAGAGUAUAUAAAAUAUGUAAUGAGGUUUCAGGUAAAAGUUGGAAACAUGAAAGUAUGGUAAUGUAACAACUCAAUACAGCAAUAUAAAAUAUAAGUUCAUGAAGUUCUUCCUGUUUCAUUUUAUCUUGGAGAGUUUGGUAGUAGUUUUACGAAAGUCAACUUCAUUUGUUCUUUACAUAACUUAGAAGUAUUUAACAGACAAAAUUUAUUCAUUUGUUCUUAAAACUGAUUUCAAGAAAUAGAGUAAGAAUAGUUCUCCAAAAAUGCUCUGGUCCUCAAAUAAAAUGUCCAAGUCUACAGCAAUUAAGGGUUAUCUGAUCAAAUAAAUUGACAAAGCUAAAUGUAACCAAAACCAAGUUGCUCAUUAAUGAUAUAAAAGCAAAACACACACACAAACUUUCUGCCUAUAAACAUAUUAAAACAACCAACUGUAACCUGAUUUUCAGAAGUUUAAAAUUCCUGAAGAUACAAAGUGCACCAGUAACAUAGUUCCUAGAAUUCAAGUAUAUAGUUAGAAGUACUGUAAAGAUACUGAACCUCUAAGCAAUGAAUGCUAAUAUCCCCAAAAUUAAGAAGACAUUUUCAAUAAAGUCACUAAACAGCAGUGCCAAGGAAAACUGGCACACUUUUUAUACCAAGGCAAUUUCCAACCUUCCAACCAACUUAUCUUUGUGGGUUGGGGGUGGGGUAUGAAAUCAAAAGACAGUUUAAAGUAUUAAAAACUUACCUGAAAAUGUCAACACCACCUUUUUUCUCUCAAUGUUUGUAAAGGCAUAAAAUUAAAUUUCAGCAAACAUGAUGCCCACUUUUUGUUAACUUUAUAUCCUUUUUACCAGAAUAAAAGGAACAGCAUAUUUUAAUUAACAUGUAAAGGAUCCAAGCCCUUUGCAUAUUCACUCACUUAAUUACUAUCCCUAUUUAACAGAAUAGGAAACUAAGGCACAGGGAGAUUAACUUGUCCAAAUUAACACAAUAGGAAGGAGCAGAGCCACGAUCUGAACCUUACAUAUUCAGGAUAAUAAAGGAAUGGGGUGGAAAUGAAAUAAAAAUUUUCUGAAACAGCUUGCAAAACAAUGUUAUGAAUGAGAACAAAAUGUUUAAACUAUAAAUAUAUGUAGAUGUAAAAACAGAUUACAGAAAUUUUAUCCCUAGACAAGUACUUUGGCGCUAUAAUAUUUCAUUAUGGUCAGACACUAAACUACAUCAAAUCGUAGUGGCAGUCGACCAAGUAAAGGAUUUACUGUUACUAUUUGGACACUGUAUUUUACAGGCUAAAUAAAAUACAAUGAAAUCUAAAAGAUGAGUGGGGGGGUGAUGUAACCGAAGCAGUAGUUUAAGGAAAACUACUUUCUCUUUUAGCAGUUAAUUAGAAAACUGUGUGUGUGUCGAGAAAAGGGGAUAAGAAAAGGAAAGAUGACAAUCACACUGCCUUAACCCCACCUCCCCCAAAAAGUAACUAAAUCACCUCGGGCCAACGCCUAAGCCAACCGGAGAACUGACCCAGCGGGAUCUCGUAAGGGGAUGACAGGAGACCCUAGCAGAGGGGGAGGGGUGGCGAUGACAGGAGAGGGGGCGGUAGAGAGAUCGCCUGCCUCCCGUACCCGAAAAAGGGGAGAACACAGGGGGCAAGGGGCGGAGAAGAGAAGGCAGGAAAUGUUGCCAGAGAUUCCAAAUGAGGUGAGCAGGGACAGGGUAGGAAACACAAGAAGGCGGGACCCUCUGGCAAAGAAGGGUCUGGUCGGGGCAAGGAAGGCAUGUCAGUACAGAGCUUCCCUGCCGGCUGACCUUCCUUCCCUCCACCCCCGACAAACUCUCACUUUCUCAGCAACCCUAAACCCGUGGGUCCCGCUCCCCGCCCCACACCCAAACAGGAUGGAUGGAGGGGGCAGCUUCACCCUCACUCUCCCUGUGGGGCUGCUGCAGCGAGCAACGGACACAGCCUUGAUUCGAGGACCAAAAGGGCAAGAGACGCAGGGAGGCCCAGGUCCAGGGUGACAAGUCCGGGCGGCCGACA
Manis pentadactyla (Chinese pangolin) is the source of this 5403-nucleotide long non-coding RNA. RefSeq lists it as uncharacterized. The transcript has 7 exons. The record is from RefSeq and is a predicted model, not a curated record. NCBI's taxonomy places the organism in Eukaryota, Metazoa, Chordata, Mammalia, Pholidota, Manidae.